Apodemus sylvaticus (European woodmouse) is the source of this 805-nucleotide long non-coding RNA. RefSeq lists it as uncharacterized. The record is from RefSeq and is a predicted model, not a curated record. NCBI's taxonomy places the organism in Eukaryota, Metazoa, Chordata, Mammalia, Rodentia, Muridae. The transcript has 3 exons.
GGCCGGUUCUGAAGCUCCCCAGCGUUGUCUCCAGCCCAGCCUCAUUGCUUUCAAGGAAAUGGAGGACGAGUGGUCAUCACUCAUCAUGUGCCAGCCUCUGGUUCAGACUCUCUACACAGAUUUCAGCUUCGAAAAACCAACUAGACGUGUGCAUAUGGAGCGCUCCCUGAUAGGGCAUCUCCCUUUCAGGCCUUAAGAAGAGAGGAAGGGAUGGAAAUGCAAGAAAAAGCAGGGUGCUUGUCCCACCUCUUCCAAGUACUACGGCAGAGGACAGAAAGGUGAUAGAUGCUCCCGGACAUUUCCAGUGUCCCUCGCUCUAACAGACCCUGAGAAUCCAUCCGGCCUUGGUCCCUUUGCCUGGAACUUGCAGUCUCCCCUGGCUUAGGAGGAUAUCUGAUAUGUGAUCCCCAAAGGGGUCACAACCCUCAGGUUGAGAACCACCGCCUGAAGACCAGAAGAGAUGUGCCCAGCACAACCAACAAAUGAGCAGUGCUCCCAUCAUGACUAAGAAACUGGAAUCCUCCUGCAUCCCACCAGCACAGGCUGCUGAGGACUUGAAGGUACCAUUUCACAUCUAAUCUCUUCAAGUCAAGCUGAAGCCAUUUUCCUCACUCAGAGCCCCAUGUGGAUGCCUCAGAAUUAACAUCUUUGAAGUUUUUUCUGUGAGGAAAUGACUAUCCAUGCUCUUCCUCUCCUUUCAGAGCUCCAAGGGAUACACAGUCAUUUUCUCUCUACUUAUCUUGCCUAGUUGCAAAUUGUGCUCACUCCCCAGCGCGCCUAUUUGUCCUGCCUCUAAAGAGAUGAU